Long non-coding RNA from Manis pentadactyla (Chinese pangolin), 571 nucleotides. RefSeq lists it as uncharacterized. The transcript has 2 exons. NCBI's taxonomy places the organism in Eukaryota, Metazoa, Chordata, Mammalia, Pholidota, Manidae. The record is from RefSeq and is a predicted model, not a curated record.
GGACCACGUGGUCCCGAAUUGGCCAAUGACCAGGCCGCCCGGGAUGAGCUAAUAAUGGAAGCAAUUUGUAACUUUCAGUAGCUCUCUAGGCCUGGGUGCGAGAGGGAGGGAGGCAGGCGGAGGUGGGGAGGUGGGUACCCCCAGUUCUUCCACCCUUCUCAUAUGUGUAGGGCAUCGGAUUGCCUAUUUCUCCUUUCCCCUACACGCAGGCACCCGAAGGAUCCCGCACCCACUUCUUUACUGCUGCCACCGCUCCAAACCAAGAGAGUCUUCCAGCUGGACACUCCAUUUUCCCAGCGGCCCUUGCUGCCAGGUGCGGCCAGAGGGGAAUGUGAGCUGAGUGAUGUCAUCAGAGCCUUAAGGCAUAAGUUCUGCUUUUGAUGAGAUGGACCAGAUGGGACCUAUGACUGAACUUCAGCCAUGCAGUUGAGGAGAAAUCCCAAAGAGAUGGCAAAACAACAAUAUGGAAGGACCCGGGGUUCCUGACUGAGCAAGUGGAGCAGAGUCUCCUGCUGUCUGGGACUGCUCCCUGUCAGACCGUUAGAUGAGAAAUAAACUUGUGUUUUACCAA